RNAcentral lists this transfer RNA (93 nucleotides) under Planctomycetales bacterium. Its description in RNAcentral is "tRNA-OTHER". It matches the Rfam family "tRNA". From Rfam's summary of the family: Transfer RNA (tRNA) molecules are approximately 80 nucleotides in length. Their secondary structure includes four short double-helical elements and three loops (D, anti-codon, and T loops). Further hydrogen bonds mediate the characteristic L-shaped molecular structure. tRNAs have two regions of fundamental functional importance: the anti-codon, which is responsible for specific mRNA codon recognition, and the 3' end, to which the tRNAs corresponding amino acid is attached (by aminoacyl-tRNA synthetases). tRNAs cope with the degeneracy of the genetic code in two manners: having more than one tRNA (with a specific anti-codon) for a particular amino acid; and 'wobble' base-pairing, i.e. permitting non-standard base-pairing at the 3rd anti-codon position. Lineage: Bacteria; Pseudomonadati; Planctomycetota; Planctomycetia; Planctomycetales. The record is from RNAcentral.
GGCGCUGGAGCCAGAUGGUUAGGCGGCUGCCUGGGGCACCGACGCGUAGCGUUGGUCUACAGUUGAAGUGGGUUCGAUUCCCCACCGGCGUCU